UACGUAGGCAGCAAGCGUUGUUCGGAGUUACUGGGCGUAAAGAGUGCGUAGGCGGUUUCGUAAGUUUGGUGUGAAAUCUCCCGGCUUAACUGGGAGGGUGCGCCGAAAACUGCGAGGCUGGAGUGUGGGAAAGGUAGGCGGAAUUCCUGGUGUAGCGGUGAAAUGCGUAGAUAUCAGGAGGAACACCGGCGGUGUAGACGGCUUACUAGACCAUGACUGACGCUGAGGCACGAAAGCGUGGGUAGCAAACAGG
Molecule: ribosomal RNA, 253 nt
Filed under: uncultured bacterium
Lineage: Bacteria
Description: partial 16S ribosomal RNA
Rfam family: Bacterial small subunit ribosomal RNA
Source: RNAcentral